RNAcentral lists this small RNA (1613 nucleotides) under Oryza sativa Japonica Group (Japanese rice). RNAcentral's name for it is "sRNA Os06g0618650". The record is from RNAcentral. Lineage: Eukaryota; Viridiplantae; Streptophyta; Magnoliopsida; Poales; Poaceae.
GUUUAUAGAUUAUAUGGAAUCUACAUUUUAACCUUUAAAUCAAAUGUAUCGCAAAAAUAUUAUUCAUGUCACAAAAAGUUCAAAGUUUAUUUGAGUGUUUUGGGUGAUUAUCGAUCAGAGACUUCUGCUACCACGGAAACCAGAAAUCUCAGUCUCUAUUGUGUUCUCUUUCAUAACCGAGAUGUAAAUCCCUAGCAGGACAGGUGAAAAGACAGGCAUAUGCAAGAAGGCUGCAUACCUUCAAGAGUUGAAAAGGUUCCCAACUAAGACAGAUCUAUCAUUUCUUCCAUGAAUUGCUUGCCUACGCAAUGGAGGUGCAUAAACAGUUAUUGGAAGCACCCAGUCACCCUUCUCUCUUUUCUCGACGAGAAGUGGAUGUUCAUACCUGCCAAAAGAGAGAAACCAGAAUUGCUGAUUCAAAACUAACAGCAGCAGACUAGAAAAGAUCACCCUUUCCCAGUAUGGCAGUACCAGAUAAUGGUUGAAACAAAUUGCUUAACACCAAUAAUUAGCAUAGUUCUGAAGAAACUAAUUGUAGCUGUGGUGAUUAUAGCUUGUGUAUUGCUAUGCACAUCUAAGGACGAUGAGCAUAAAACAUAUCUCCUAUUUCUAUGAAGGAAUCAUUCUACUAUUGAUGUAAAUUAUGGAAACAGCACAGAAGGUACGAAACAACUCGUGGCCUACUUAGCAAUCCAACCCUGCGCUGUUAAGAGACACGGUGUCCAAGAUAAUGCUAUCAGGCUACAGCACAUAAAAUUGUUAAUACUGUUACAUACCUAGAUGAAUCAAUUCCUUCGGGAGUUGUGAAGAACUCAAAUCGAAGAGACCAUUGCACAGAAACUUUUGAAGUGGAAAAUGACAUUGGUCCAUCAAUUGGAACUGAAAAGAGAAAGCUUGUCUGGUGAAGAUCCGCAACAACUUCAUAGUGCUCACUGUGUACCUUUGCAGAGAGUCCAGAGAAAAAUGAGUGAAUCAUUAAAAUCAAUUUGCUGAUUUUACAGUGUAAAUGACUAAAUGUUUUUUAGACCAAAAGGCAAGCAAAGUAACCCUGCUUCCCGUCGAAAGCAAACAGUGUAAGUACAUAAAGACAAAAGGUGGUCUUUUUGGUGAAAAAGAAGCUAGCAGAAUACACAACAUUUGAUAUUGGCAUGUUACUAGAAUGCACUAGAUUUAUCAAUAGCAGGUAAAAGUCUAAGACUCAGAGGUGCUUAUAGAUUCUUGAUGGCCAUGACUAAUAUUUUGUGUUUGAGGGCAAUUAGCACAUGCCCUUUCCUCGACAAAUAAAAGUGUUAAGCACAUCCCUACUGUUCGAAUGGCAUUGUCCAUCAUGCUUAUUGUUCCAUAGUUACUGUUUGCUGCAAUUGCUGUUCAUGCACAGGUAGUUUGUUUUUCCAAAGGUUAGGUUAUUUUUUCUUUUGGAAGCUUUACUACUAAUGUACUCCAUGUGUUUUCUAAAGACUAUUUCUACAUUUCCUAGGUAGAGUCAUCACCACAGAAGGGCAUUGCACCUUCUUUAGUCGAGCAAAGAUGAGUAAACAAGUUCCUAAUCCCUAAAGUCCCAUUGUGGUCUCCCUUGGCCAGUGAUUGUACUCCCGACACUCCUUCCCCACGGU